UCCAAAGUAUAACUGCUUGUACAGAAAA
This 28-nucleotide non-coding RNA is filed under the name Bombyx mori (domestic silkworm). Lineage: Eukaryota; Metazoa; Arthropoda; Insecta; Lepidoptera; Bombycidae. The record is from RNAcentral.